This 388-nucleotide ribosomal RNA is filed under the name uncultured Nitrospina sp. RNAcentral describes it as "bacterial SSU rRNA". It matches the Rfam family "Bacterial small subunit ribosomal RNA", at positions 29 to 410 of the family's 1533-position model. Lineage: Bacteria; Pseudomonadati; Nitrospinota; Nitrospinia; Nitrospinales; Nitrospinaceae. The record is from RNAcentral.
AACGAACGCUGGCGGCGUGCCUAACACAUGCAAGUCGAACGAGAAUUUUCCCUUCGGGGAAAUAGUAAAGUGGCGCAAGGGUGAGUAACACGUGAAUAAUCUGCCUACGAAUUCGGGAUAACGCGGCGAAAGCUGUGCUAAUACCGAAUAAGACCACGUCUUUGACGGGAUGUGGCCAAAGGAGCCUCAAGCUCCGUUUGUAGAUGAGUUCGCGGACCAUUAGCUUGUUGGCGGGAUAACAGCCACCAAGGCUACGAUGGUUAGCCGGCCUGAGAGGGUGAUCGGCCACACUGGAACUGAGACACGGUCCAGACUCCUACGGGAGGCAGCAGUGGGGAAUAUUGCGCAAUGGGCGAAAGCCUGACGCAGCAACGCCGCGUGAGGGAUG